Molecule: long non-coding RNA, 525 nt
Filed under: Trifolium pratense (red clover)
Lineage: Eukaryota; Viridiplantae; Streptophyta; Magnoliopsida; Fabales; Fabaceae
Description: long non-coding RNA (TPRA_LNC006961)
Source: RNAcentral
UCAUGUCAAUUUAUUUAGAAUAUCAACAAGAGUGUACAUAACUGAAUCGGGAAUCAUUAAGUUUUCAUUUGGUAUCGUCCGAGUACAUAAAUAGGAUUACAAAAUCCAAUAGAUUAAUACUAAAUUGAGCUAACAACUGAAAACAUAAAGAAACUAAAUCUUAUACAAAAUAUAAGAUAACAUGACGUCAGCUCAACUAGCAUAAUCCAAGUAUUUGAACUCCAUGCUUGCAGAUCAUGAUAUCUCGAUCAACCUGUUUAUCUGAAAACAAAUAAGUGGGGGAUGAGAACAGUCACUUCGUCUCAGUGAAUUCCUACUACCCAGUUACUAUUGGUGUCUACACUGGGGGCAACUGAUGAACUAAAAGUUCCUUGAUCCUGAUUGUCAGUCUCUAACAUAAUUUCAUAACAUGAUUUCAUAAACAUAAUAAUAUAAAAGUGUAACACAGAUUAAUUAUCUUCUUCAUUUUAACAUAACUAAGACACUCUGAGGUGAGCCGGUCUCAGAGGUCUGACAUAUCCGUCG